GGAGGGUCCUGGGUUGGGUUUAUCACUGCUCUUGAUAGUCUCAGGGUAAUCAUUGAGUUGCACAGAGCACCUUUCCACACCUGAGCAGCUGGCUGGACUCCCAGACAUACACAGCGCUGCUGUAUCCUGAGAGGGUGUGACUGCGUGAGACACUUCAAGCUCUGCCAGCACUGUGAGGACCCAAACCCUGAAGAUACAGACCAUGGACAGGGAUGCAACCAGCGCUGACGACCCCUUCACCUACGAUUAUGCCAAGCUGUCGAUCGGGGGUCUGGUGUUUGUCGGUGUCAUUGUGUGUCUGGCGAUCCUGCUGCUGCUGAGUGAUAGAAUAUGCAAAUCCAAAAAGAGACCUCUGGUGAACAGCGACGGAGAUGAGUGGGAGCUGGGGACUCUCUCUGGGGGCAUUUCCUAACACAAAUCCCAAUGCUGUUUUCUUAAUGUCAUGGUCAACCCUCACGCUGGAAACAAACCCUUU
Molecule: long non-coding RNA, 475 nt
Organism: Polyodon spathula (Mississippi paddlefish)
Lineage: Eukaryota; Metazoa; Chordata; Actinopteri; Acipenseriformes; Polyodontidae
Exons: 6
Source: RefSeq, a predicted model, not a curated record